RNAcentral lists this ribosomal RNA (404 nucleotides) under uncultured bacterium. RNAcentral's name for it is "bacterial SSU rRNA". It matches the Rfam family "Bacterial small subunit ribosomal RNA", at positions 355 to 775 of the family's 1533-position model. The record is from RNAcentral.
UGGGGGAUAUUGCACAAUGGGGGAAACCCUGAUGCAGCGACGCCGCGUGUAGGAAGACGGUCCUCUGGAUUGUAAACUACUGUCUUCGGGGACGAAAAAAGACGGUACCCGACGAGGAAGCCACGGCUAACUACGUGCCAGCAGCCGCGGUAAUACGUAGGUGGCAAGCGUUGUCCGGAAUUACUGGGUGUAAAGGGAGCGUAGGCGGGGAUGCAAGUCAAGUGUUAAAUCCAUCGGCUCAACUGAUGGCUGCGCUUGAAACUGCAACUCUUGAGUGAAGUAGAGGUUGGCGGAAUUCCUAGUGUAGCGGUGAAAUGCGUAGAUAUUAGGAGGAACACCAGUGGCGAAGGCGGCCAACUGGGCUUUUACUGACGCUGAGGCUCGAAAGUAUGGGGAGCAAACAG